CGUGAACCCAUCGAAUUUUUGAACCCAAUUGCCCCCGAGGUUUCUGGUAAGGGCACGCCUGCCUGGGCAUCACG
This 74-nucleotide ribosomal RNA is filed under the name Crinum acaule. RNAcentral describes it as "partial 5.8S ribosomal RNA". Lineage: Eukaryota; Viridiplantae; Streptophyta; Magnoliopsida; Asparagales; Amaryllidaceae. The record is from RNAcentral.